This 354-nucleotide long non-coding RNA is filed under the name Vigna radiata. RNAcentral describes it as "long non-coding RNA (VRAD_LNC001167)". The record is from RNAcentral. Lineage: Eukaryota; Viridiplantae; Streptophyta; Magnoliopsida; Fabales; Fabaceae.
ACCACAAUCAAUCAUACUCAAAAGCAAGUUAUAAUCAUAAGGACUUUUCAUGGCUUAUAAUGAGGAUGGGCUAACAAGAAAAUUUGGUUUUUCUAGAUCACAAAAUCCUUGAGUUAAGAGAGCUAUUGAAACAUUUAUAAUUCAAGCACAAACUCGCUUUCAUAACCAAUCUCACUCAUUCCCAACUUUCCCUUUUUUGCAUUGAGCUUAUCUUUUUCUUUCAUUUUAUCUUUUCUAUCUUUUUCAUUUUUUCAUGUUUUGCUCAACACAUUAGCUCAAUGUUUAUCUUUUCUUUUUCAACUUUCCCAACAGCCCCAAACUUGAACCUUUAUCAAUACCACAAUAAUUCUCAAC